UGGUUAUUGGCUUGCUGUGCAUGGGGGGAUACCUCAUCUGGAGAAACUGGAAACGGAAGAACACUAAAAGCAUGAACUUCGAUAAUCCAGUAUAUAGGAAGACAACAGAAGAGGAAGAUGAAGAUGAAAUCCAUAUUGGUCGGACUGCCCAAAUUGGACAUGUCUAUCCAGCACGUGUAGCACUGAGCUUAGAAGACGAUGGGUUGCCAUAAGGAUGAAGUUGCUGCUCCAGCCGGAACACACCGAACAAAAUUUUCUUUGGAUCACAAAACCCUGCUUCUUUGUUUGAAUCAUUAUUUAUGUUGCAGAAGGGUAACCACAGAGUUAUAAUGAACUGCAAACAUCCAAAGGAUGUGAGAGUUUUGUAUGUAUAAUCUUUUAUACACAUUUUAACUUGUUGCACUACCCAUUUGUGAUAGUCAAUAAGCAACUGCUGAGCUACUAACUCAAUGUACAUAACCAGCAGGCUGAUGGUUCAGUAGCUACUGCUUUAUUUUAAGACUAUAUUUAUAGAUAUUUUGUAAAUAUACUGAAUAUGCUUUGUGGCUAUCCAUCAACAUAAGUAAAAUAAAUUCUGUACAGACCGUUUAGAAAUAUUUAUUAACAAAAUCUGGAUUAUAAGAUCUGAUCUGUAAAUAUAGUAGAGGGGUGAGAGUAUUUAUUUUUUGUAUGUUUGGCUUGCUGUGCAUAGAUUAUCUGUGUAUAUAUCUAUCUAGUCUAGAUAGAUAUAUAGGCAUAUAAAUAUAUACAUAUAUAUAAAUAUAUACAUAUAUUUUAAAACUACUGGGCUAUGUUUAUGAAAAUUAGGGAUAAUUGAAUUUUUAUCAGGUGUUUGAAGUUCGCUUUCAAAUCUAAAGACACAAAGUAAGAAACAGCUGUACUGUAAGAUAGCUGAUAAAUGACAAACAUAGCAAACAGGGCUUUUGUUUCCCAAAGUGGCUUGCAAGGGUUGCUUUCAUCUUUUCCAGUUUAGCCAGCUUCAUCUGCACUGCUUUUUGCUGAAGAGCUGUUGCUAACAGCAUUUCAGGCAGGAGGAGUUCCUACAGCGACCACAUUUUUCAUUCUGUACUGUUGCUUUUUACAGGUUGGUAAAAAUCUGAUUUUAGCAUAUUUUUUCAUUUUCUUCUAACUAUAAAUCUAAAUGUUUUCCCCUCAAGGCAUCCUGCACCUCUCACAUUCAUUUAGAAUUAGUAGCAGAAACAAAGGUAGAGACACAUUCUUUCAGAUACCUGAAGUGAGCACUCAGGAAGGCUCAUCAGGAAACAGUCCCACAUUAACAAAAGGUAAUCCCUUACCUUCUGGAUCCUUUCCCCCACUCUCUUCUUCGUUAAGUCUCAAUUUAGGAGAUACUGUGGGGCAGUGUCUUAGUUCACCAUUUGUAAAAUUCAUUGAAGUGCAGCAGCUGUCAUCAAAGUGAAUGCCAGCACCGUGGUAGAUCUGACAUAACACAGAGCACAAGACAAGGUUCAGGAUUCACAGCUGUAUCAAUAGCUGAUUCCUAGAAUUCAGAGGUAUAUGAAAAAAAAUAAAAAUCACAGGAAAAAGAAGUUGAAAGCAUUCUGGUCUGUUAGUAACUGCCUUUCAUUCUCUAUGGUUCCCAAACUUUGUUUCUCUCUCCUGCAGACCUUAAUAGCACAGUGUUACCAUCACCCCAUAAGACAGUGAAGGAGUCUAAAUAUGCACCAUUUCUCCUAAGAAUUAG
RNAcentral lists this long non-coding RNA (1702 nucleotides) under Gallus gallus (chicken). The record is from RNAcentral. Lineage: Eukaryota; Metazoa; Chordata; Aves; Galliformes; Phasianidae.